Molecule: ribosomal RNA, 433 nt
Filed under: uncultured bacterium
Lineage: Bacteria
Description: partial 16S ribosomal RNA
Rfam family: Bacterial small subunit ribosomal RNA
Source: RNAcentral
AACGAACGCUGGCGGCAUGCCUAACACAUGCAAGUCGAACGAGACGUUCGGGAGUAGGGGCGCAUGGGGUCGUAAGGCGUGGGAACCGGCCCUUAGGGUCGGAAUAACUACCCGAAAGGGGUGCUAAUACGGGAUAAUAGCUUCGAACCCAAGAUUUAUCGCACUUGGUUGGACACGAGUGGGAUUAGCUAUUUGUUAGGGUAAUAGACGCCCAAGGCGACGAUUAAUAACUUGUUUGUGAGAAUGAUCAGCCACACUGAGAGUGAGACGCGGCCCAGAAUCCUACGGGAGGCGGCAAUGCGGAAUAUUGGAACACCGGCUGAAGCCUGAUGCACCUCUGACGCGUGAGUGAUGAAGGCAUUAGGGUUGUAAAGCUUUUUUAACCGGGAUGAUCAUGACAGUACCGAGAGAGUAAGCCACGGCUAACUCCGUG